AUGUCGUCUUUUAUACCUAUCGAGGUUGAUCCAUUUGACUGUGUGUACACAAACAUACCAGACAGCACCCACGUCCUGAAGAUCGACGCAAACUGCAAACACUGCAAAGCCAGAAAGUUUGUUUCUGAGACUGACGGAUUCUGCUGUCGCAAUGGACAGAUCGAGCUUAAACAACCGGAACCAAUCCCAGAGCUUAUGAGGCUAUGGUCCAGCAUGGAUGCAGAUUCCAGACAUUUUCGUGAGAACAUACGGUUUUUCAAUGGGCAUUUCGCCUUCACAACCCUGGGCGUCAGCCUUGAUGAGAACUACACAAACAUGAAGUCUGGGGUGUACACAUUCCAG
This 342-nucleotide ribosomal RNA is filed under the name Triticum aestivum (bread wheat). RNAcentral's name for it is "partial small subunit ribosomal RNA". Lineage: Eukaryota; Viridiplantae; Streptophyta; Magnoliopsida; Poales; Poaceae. The record is from RNAcentral.